UACGAAGGGGGCUAGCGUUGUUCGGAAUCACUGGGCGUAAAGGGCGCGUAGGCGGCUUGCACCGUCAGAUGUGAAAUUCCUGGGCUUAACCUGGGGGCUGCAUUUGAUACGUGUGGGCUUGAGUGCGGAAGAGGGUCGUGGAAUUCCAGGUGUAGCGGUGAAAUGCGUAGAUACCUGGAGGAACACCGGUGGCGAAGGCGGCAUCCUGGACCAAUACUGACGCUGAGGAGCGAAAGCCAGGGGAGCAAACGGG
RNAcentral lists this ribosomal RNA (253 nucleotides) under uncultured bacterium. RNAcentral's name for it is "partial 16S ribosomal RNA". It matches the Rfam family "Bacterial small subunit ribosomal RNA", at positions 524 to 776 of the family's 1533-position model. The record is from RNAcentral.